This 381-nucleotide transfer-messenger RNA is filed under the name Actinomycetota bacterium. It matches the Rfam family "transfer-messenger RNA". From Rfam's summary of the family: Bacterial tmRNA, also known as 10Sa RNA or SsrA, is named for its dual tRNA and mRNA-like properties. The record is from RNAcentral. Lineage: Bacteria; Bacillati; Actinomycetota.
GGGGCUGACUGGUUUCGACGCUGGGACCGUUGGCUCGUCGUGCGACCCGAGUUGCUCAGACUCGAUAAACGGGGCAAACAAAACAAGUGCCAACAGCACUGCUCGUAACUUCGCCGUCGCGGCCUAAGAACCGCGAGGGACAGUUACAUUGCGACCCGAGAGGGCACGCCGAGGACGACCCUUUGCCUUGGGAACAGAAUGAGGGUUGACGGCGGGAAAGACCGCUGACACGAAGGGAAAGACCGACUGGCCUCACGGAAAGACGUGACGAACAUCCGGGACCCGGCCCGGGGGUAGCGUCAAGCCCGUAGCUCGGGAACGGUCGUAGCACGGGGAGUCUGCACCGAGCGGACGAGGGUUCGAUUCCCUCCAGCUCCACCC